AUUUUUCAGAAAGCGGUAUCAAUUUCCCGUUCGUAUAAAUACAAAAUGACUGAAGAACGGCAAACUUCGCAGGGUUAUAUUAUCAGCAUUUUACCACAUUUUGCAACGAAACUUCGGAAUAUUACUAAUUUUGUGAUGCUCUUUCAAGCUGUGAUAAAAGUUUUGUCUACACUUGUCUAGGUCAAAAUUUUAUUCAUUAGGUAAUAGGUCCAUUAAUGAUCGGCCCUUAGCAUAAAAACACAAAAUAAAUGCACGUGACGCCUAGAAAUACUGUGUCUAUUUUAUACUAAUAUGAUCUAUAUUCUCCAAGGAACGACUUUCCGGAAAAGCAGACCGGUUCAAAUAUUAAAGCGGCCUGUUUUGACAUUACCUAAAUUCCAUUUGCGUUUAUAAUAAUAACACCAGUAUGUAAUAAUUAUAUACCAUGCAGAGUACAUAUAAUCACGACGGUAGCGCGAAGUUGAGUAUUGUCCUCCCCGACCCGUUGGAGGACAGCCACCGUAAAUAUGCAUGAUACUGCACUUGAAAGCUAAUAAAAUACCAUAUGCUUUGCCGCAAAAUAUUAAACUGUAAACUGAAAACCAAGCAAAUAAUAUAUCAAUUAAAUGAAUAUAUAUACUCUUGACGGUCGAUCUAUAAACCUAUAGCUAAAUUUAAACUCGAAUUAAUUUACAACUUACGUGCUCAAAAGCAGGACAACCACAAACACAAGUAUGCGAAUCUGGCUUUAUAGUAAUAUAUUUAACACACUUUGUGCCGUGUUUACGGCAUUUGCUGCGCAAAUUCCCGGCCAAGUCCAUCCAAAAUACCGU
Paramuricea clavata is the source of this 812-nucleotide non-coding RNA. Lineage: Eukaryota; Metazoa; Cnidaria; Anthozoa; Malacalcyonacea; Plexauridae. The record is from the annotation of a GenBank genome assembly.